AUGAGAAAAUAGGUACCUUGUUUGAAAGAGAGAGAGUACAGUCUUGUCAGUGUGGAAAAGGGUGUGUAGUCAUUCAGCGAAAUGGAAGAAGAAGGAAACCCUAGAAGCUUAAACAACGAAAUGGGUUGCUCUAGAUUUGGUUUAAAGACAGAGACUAACAAGUCUAAAUGCUAUGUCACUACUACAGCCCCUAUUUGACAAUACUAACAAGUCUAAAUGCUAAGGAAAAUAGUACAGCUCUUACUAAACUGUAAAAUUUGGUCCAACCCCCAAGUUGCUAGGUCAGAUUAUGAACUGAUUUGGUAUUAGCAAUCAAAACCAAAUCCUAAACAAGCAACUUUCAAACUUUCUGAUUCAUUUCAAGCAUUUAAAAUGCAUUAAAACCCCACAUUUUAGAGGAAAAACGCAUAUUUCCAUAAAAAAAAUUGAAUUUUUCUACAUAAACAAGCAAAAUUUAGAAGAAAAAACAGAAAAUCAAAUGAUUAAACACCCACAAAGCAAGCAUCCAACCUCCCAAAUCUUGAGAUGACUAAUAAUCAGCAAAAAAAUCAAUCUUUAACAGAAAUCAAAUUCCAAAAACACAUACAGAUCAAUGAACACAGAGAAACACCUAAAAAGACCCAAAAAAUUGAGGAUUGGAAGAUGAAACUCAUGAGAAAAUAGGUACCUUGUUUGAAAGAGAGAGAGUACAGUCUUGUCAGUGUGGAAAAGGGUGUGUAGUCAUUCAGCGAAAUGGAAGAAGAAGGAAACCCUAGAAGCUUAAACAACGAAAUGGGUUGCUCUAGAUUUGGUUUAA
This 796-nucleotide long non-coding RNA is filed under the name Lathyrus oleraceus (garden pea). Its description in RNAcentral is "Pisum sativum (pea) long non-coding RNA (PSAT_LNC028683)". Lineage: Eukaryota; Viridiplantae; Streptophyta; Magnoliopsida; Fabales; Fabaceae. The record is from RNAcentral.